GAUGAACGCUGGCGGUAUGCCUAAUACAUGCAAGUCGAGCGAAAACACGAUAAGAUUGUUCUCUUGCGGUUAGCGGGGGACGGGCGAGUGAGAAAUGCAUCGGAUUCUACUAUUUCUGGGGUAAUAACGGAAAGAAGGUGACACUAAUAGCUCAUAUGAUGUACGGGAUAAUUCAAUGGAGCUUGACAGCUUUGCCGUUUCUUAUAGCUGGAUCCGCGUCGGAUUAGCUAGUUGGUAAGGUAACGGCCUACCAAGGCGACGAUGCGUAGCUGAUCUGAGAGGAUGAUCAGCCACACUGGAACUGAGACACGGUCCAGACUCCUACGGGAGGCAGCAGUGGGGAAUCUUGGACAAUGGGCGAAAGCCUGAUGCAGCCAUACCGCGUGGGUGAAGAAGGUCUUCGGGUUGUAAAGCCCUUUUGUUGGGAAAGAAAAGCAGCAGGUUAAUACACCGCUGUUUUGACGGUACCCAAAGAGUAAGCAACGGCUAACUUCGUG
This 497-nucleotide ribosomal RNA is filed under the name uncultured bacterium. RNAcentral's name for it is "partial 16S ribosomal RNA". It matches the Rfam family "Bacterial small subunit ribosomal RNA", at positions 28 to 507 of the family's 1533-position model. The record is from RNAcentral.